This 495-nucleotide ribosomal RNA is filed under the name uncultured bacterium. RNAcentral describes it as "partial 16S ribosomal RNA". It matches the Rfam family "Bacterial small subunit ribosomal RNA", at positions 28 to 507 of the family's 1533-position model. The record is from RNAcentral.
GACGAACGCUGGCGGCGUGCCUAAUACAUGCAAGUAGAACGCUGAAGGAGGAGCUUGCUUCUCUGGAUGAGUGGCGAACGGGUGAGUAACGCGUAGGUAACCUGCCUGUUAGCGGGGGAUAACUAUUGGAAACGAGAGCUAAUACCGCAUAAUAUUUACUAUUGCAUGAUAGUCAGUUGAAAGGUGCAGCUGCUCCACUACCAGAUGGAGCUGCGUUGUAUUAGCUAGUUGGUGGGGUAACGGCUCACCAAGGCGAAGAGACAUAGUCGAACUGAGAGGGGGGUCGGCCACCCUGGGACUGAGACCAGGCACAGGCUUCUACGGGAGGGAGCCGUAGGGAAUCCUUGGGAAUUGGGGGAAGUCUGACCGGGGAACGCCGGGGUAGUGAAGAAGGGUUUCGGGUCGUAAAGCUCUGUUGUAAGGGAAGAAAGAGUGUGAGAGUGGAAAGCUCACACUGUGACGGUAUCUUAUCAGAAAGCGACGGCUAACUACGUG